UACGGAGGAUCCGAGCGUUAUCCGGAUUUAUUGGGUUUAAAGGGUGCGCAGGCGGGAGAUUAAGUCGGCGGUGAAAUUUUGCAGCUCAACUGUAAAAGUGCCUUCGAAACUGGUUUCCUUGAGUGUAGAUGAAGUAGGCGGAAUUUGUGGUGUAGCGGUGAAAUGCUUAGAUAUCACGAGGAGCUCCGAUUGCGCAGGCAGCUUACUAAACCACUACUGACGCUCAGGCACGAAGGCGUGGGGAUCAAACAGGAUUAGAUACCCGUGUA
Molecule: ribosomal RNA, 269 nt
Filed under: uncultured prokaryote
Description: partial 16S ribosomal RNA
Rfam family: Bacterial small subunit ribosomal RNA
Source: RNAcentral